UGCAGGGUAGAGGAGCCUGGUCGUCCUCACCGGUCUCAUAAGCCGGGUGAUCGUGGGUUCGAAUCCCACCCCUGCCUCCA
This 80-nucleotide transfer RNA is filed under the name Dactylosporangium vinaceum subsp. matsuzakiense. RNAcentral describes it as "Dactylosporangium matsuzakiense tRNA-Met". It matches the Rfam family "tRNA". Rfam says of the family: Transfer RNA (tRNA) molecules are approximately 80 nucleotides in length. Their secondary structure includes four short double-helical elements and three loops (D, anti-codon, and T loops). Lineage: Bacteria; Bacillati; Actinomycetota; Actinomycetes; Micromonosporales; Micromonosporaceae. The record is from RNAcentral. RNAcentral also lists the same sequence under 1 other name.